Long non-coding RNA from Eurytemora carolleeae, 365 nucleotides. RefSeq lists it as uncharacterized. The record is from RefSeq and is a predicted model, not a curated record. Lineage: Eukaryota; Metazoa; Arthropoda; Copepoda; Calanoida; Temoridae. The transcript is spliced from 4 exons.
UUUAUUGAUUGAUUAUAAAUACACUAUUGUGCGCUCUAGGUGACAGCUGUUUCCCUAGCUGCCGCCUACCAGACCCAGGCUGACCAACAUACAAGGAAUAUACUCAGGAGGAGUAUCAACGACUACUACUCCAGCAGCUCCAACAGGAACGCGGUCACACUCAGCUGGGACCUCGUCAUGAGCCAGAUGCAGUGCUGUGGUGUGAAUAAUAUGUCUGAUUUCCAGACUGCUCAACAGUUUAUUAAACAAAAUAGAGACGAAAAUAGCAACAGUGUGGUCCCAGCAGCUUGUUGUAUACUGGAACCUGAUCUACCCCCCGGGGUUUACCGGCCAGUCGACGAAAAUUGUGAAACCUAUCCAACCAA